CCGCUACAGAAGUUCGGUCGGAGUCUGGUUCCCGUAGAAGUCCGGAUGGGGAUCAUUUGUUGAGGAAGCUCGAUCGAAGCCUGUCUGCAAUAGAAGUCCGAAAGGAAUUCGUUCACAAGGGAAGCUCGGGUGGAGGCUUACAGUAGAAAUCUGACGCGGACCGCUCGUAGUAGAAAUUUGAAGUAGACCGCUUGUAGUAGUAGCUCGGAGUAGAUCGCUUGUAGCAGAAGCUCGGAGUAGAUCGCUUGUAGCAGAAGCUCGAUGUAGAUCGCUUGUGGUGGGGGCUCGGAGUCCGACCCUUAUAAGAAUUC
Molecule: long non-coding RNA, 311 nt
Filed under: Elaeis guineensis (African oil palm)
Lineage: Eukaryota; Viridiplantae; Streptophyta; Magnoliopsida; Arecales; Arecaceae
Description: long non-coding RNA (EGUI_LNC057540)
Source: RNAcentral